UUAAUCUGAUACCUGCCGGAUGUGUUGUCGAGCAGGGCAGAGUUCAUGUUUUGCAUACCAAAUUGAAACAAGAAAGUGACUUUGUCUGGGAUAUCUGAGAGAACCCAUUGCCAAGAAGCAUAUAAUAAAAUGUCACUAAGAUGAUACACACAGUGUCUCUGCUCCAGAUGAAGAAUCAGAUUUCUCCUGAUGAAAAAUUGGGGAUAUUGCACAAUUUAUGGUCACCACAUGGAAGGGCAUAAACCGGGCUGGGAAGAGUUGGAUGUGGUGGAUCCCCAGCUGAUUCGGCAGGCUCCCGGCGCUUUCUAGUCCCUGUGCACAGCUUCCGGCUGAGCUGGCCUUCAGUCAACCCAGAGGCUCCUGAAUGGCAAUUAUAUGUGCUGAAACUUUACACUGGCUUAUCUUCACCAUUUAUGCUGGCUUCCCCUGAGUUGGAUUGCUCUGUAGUCUAACA
This is a long non-coding RNA of Rhineura floridana, 454 nucleotides long. RefSeq lists it as uncharacterized. The transcript is spliced from 3 exons. The record is from RefSeq and is a predicted model, not a curated record. NCBI's taxonomy places the organism in Eukaryota, Metazoa, Chordata, Lepidosauria, Squamata, Rhineuridae.